This 437-nucleotide ribosomal RNA is filed under the name uncultured bacterium. Its description in RNAcentral is "partial 16S ribosomal RNA". It matches the Rfam family "Bacterial small subunit ribosomal RNA", at positions 29 to 507 of the family's 1533-position model. The record is from RNAcentral.
AGCGAACGCUGGCGGCAGGCUUAACACAUGCAAGUCGAGCGGGCAUCCUUGUGGUGUCAGCGGCAGACGGGUGAGUAACGCGUGGGAACGUGCCCUUCGGUUCGGAAUAACUCCGGGAAACUUGAGCUAAUACCGGAUACGUGCGAGAGCAGAAAGGUUUAUCUGCCGAAGGAUCGGCCCGCGUCUGAUUAGCUAGUUGGUGAGGUUACGGCUCACCAAGGCGACGAUCAGUAGCUGGUCUGAGAGGAUGAUCAGCCACACUGGGACUGAGACACGGCCCAGACUCCUACGGGAGGCAGCAGUGGGGAAUAUUGGACAAUGGGGGCAACCCUGAUCCAGCCAUGCCGCGUGAGUGAUGACGGCCUGAGGGUUGUAAAGCUCUUUUCUCCGGGACGAUAAUGACGGUACCGGAGGAAUAAGCCCCGGCUAACUUCGUG